AGAACGAACGCUGGCGGCAUGCCUAACACAUGCAAGUCGAACGAAGGCUUCGGCCUUAGUGGCGCACGGGUGCGUAACGCGUGGGAACCUGCCCCUUGGUUCGGAAUAACAGUUAGAAAUGACUGCUAAUACCGGAUGAUGACUUCGGUCCAAAGAUUUAUCGCCGAGGGAUGGGCCCGCGUAGGAUUAGCUUGUUGGUGAGGCAAAAGCUCACCAAGGCGACGAUCCUUAGCUGGUCUGAGAGGAUGAUCAGCCACACUGGGACUGAGACACGGCCCAGACUCCUACGGGAGGCAGCAGUGGGGAAUAUUGGACAAUGGGCGAAAGCCUGAUCCAGCAAUGCCGCGUGAGUGAUGAAGGCCUUAGGUGUAAAGCUCUUUACCGGGAUGAUAAUGACAGUACCGGAGAAUAAGCUCCGCUAACUCCGCGCCAGCACGCCGC
RNAcentral lists this ribosomal RNA (441 nucleotides) under uncultured soil bacterium. Its description in RNAcentral is "bacterial SSU rRNA". It matches the Rfam family "Bacterial small subunit ribosomal RNA", at positions 26 to 518 of the family's 1533-position model. The record is from RNAcentral.